GAUGAACGCUAGCGACAGGCCUAACACAUGCAAGUCGAGGGGCAGCACGGUGUAGCAAUACACGGGUGGCGACCGGCGCACGGGUGAGUAACGCGUAUGCAACCUGCCUACUACAAGGGGAUAACCCGUUGAAAGACGGACUAAUACCCUAUAACACAGGGAAUCCGCAUGGAUAUAUUUGUUAAAGAUUUAUCGGUAGUAGAUGGGCAUGCGUUCCAUUAGCUUGUUGGUGAGGUAACGGCUCACCAAGGCAACGAUGGAUAGGGGAACUGAGAGGUUGAUCCCCCACACUGGAACUGAGACACGGUCCAGACUCCUACGGGAGGCAGCAGUGAGGAAUAUUGGUCAAUGGACGAGAGUCUGAACCAGCCAAGUCGCGUGAAGGAAGACGGCCCUACGGGUUGUAAACUUCUUUUGUAAGGGAAUAAAUAGUCUUACGCGCUAAGACGUUGCAGGUACCUUACGAAUAAGGAUCGGCUAACUCCGUGCCAGCAGCCGACGGUAAAGUC
This 509-nucleotide ribosomal RNA is filed under the name uncultured bacterium. Its description in RNAcentral is "bacterial SSU rRNA". It matches the Rfam family "Bacterial small subunit ribosomal RNA", at positions 28 to 526 of the family's 1533-position model. The record is from RNAcentral.